Molecule: ribosomal RNA, 1849 nt
Filed under: Diophrys apoligothrix
Lineage: Eukaryota; Ciliophora; Spirotrichea; Euplotida; Uronychiidae
Description: eukaryotic LSU rRNA
Rfam family: Eukaryotic large subunit ribosomal RNA
Source: RNAcentral
ACCCCCUGAACUUAAGCAUAUCACUAAGGGGAGGAAAAGAAAAUAACAAUGAUUGCCUCAGUAACGGCGAGUGAAGCGGCAAGAGCCCAAGCUGAUAAUCUCCGGCCUUCGGUCGGCGAAUUGUAAUCUAGAGGCCUGGUCCACACAGGUAAGGCGGAGGCAUAAUUUCCCUGGAAAGGGAAGCCACAGAAGGUGAAAGCCCUGUAUAGCCUCUGCUGAACCUCGAGGACGGGUUGAAGAGUCGGGUUGUUUGGAACUGCAGCCCUAAUCGGGAGAUAAACUUCUUCUAAGGCUAAAUACUUAUGGGAGACCGAUAGCGAACAAGUACUGUGAAGGAAAGAUGAAAAGAACUUUGAAAAGAGAGUUAACAGACCUGAAACCGUUGAGGAGGAAGCUGUAAAAAUUUAUUAUUUGGCAUGGUCUUUAGGAAGUGGCCUAUCCGUCUGCCGCAACGGUACUGUUAAAAGGCCGGAAGGACAGUUCGGGGAAGCUGCUCUGUGGGCUAUGUUGAUAGGCAAAAUGAGGUUGCGUAGUCACAAACGCUUUUCGUCUCGCGGGCUCCGCCCCGGUUCGGAUUUGCCGUGACUACAAUGCCUGAGGGGCUACGGCGAUUUUGCCAAAAUGAUUUUUACCGACCCGUCUUGAAACACGGACCAAGGAGUCUAACAUAUAUGCGAGUUUGGUGGUGGAAAAACCAACAAGCGCGAUGAAAGUAAGCGAUGCCAGCCUUUUGGUGCAGCAUCGGCCGACCAUGAUUCUCCGAAGAAAGGUUUGAGUAUGAGCAUAUCUGUUAGGACCCGAAAGAUGGUGAACUAUGCCUGAGUAGGGUGGAGCCAGGGGAAACUCUGGUGGAGGCCCGUAGCGAUACUGACGUGCAAAUCGUUCGUCAAACUUGGGUAUAGGGGCGAAAGACUAAUCGAACCAUCUAGUAGCUGGUUCCCUCCGAAGUUUCCCUCAGGAUAGCUGGGACAAACAUGCAGUUUUAUUAGGUAAAGCGAAUGAUUAGAGGCAUCUGGGAUGCAAUGUCCUAGACCUAUUCUCAAACUUUAAAUUGGUAAGAACCUUGGGCUUCUUAAGUGAGCUCCAGGGGUAGAAUGCAUGUCCCAAGUGGGCCAUUUUUGGUAAGCAGAACUGGCGAUGAGGGAUGAACCUAACGCUAAGUUAAGGUGCCCAACUGCACGCUCAUCAGAUACCACAAAGGGUGUUGAUUCAUUUAGACAGCAGGACGGUGACCAUGGAAGUCGGGACCCGCUAAGGAGUGUGUAACAACUCAUCUGCCGAAUGAAUUAGCCCCGAAAAUUGAUGGCGCUCAAGCGUGUGACCGAUACUUAGCCAUUGCAGCGAAAGUGCGGCUGCAAUGAGUAGGAGGGCGUGGGCGUUGUUUUGAAGCCUUUGGCGUGAGCCUGGGUAGAACAGCGUCUAGUGCAGAUCUUGGUGGUAGUAGCAAUUAUUCAAAUGAGAACUUUGAAGGCCGAAGUGGAGAAGGUUUCCAUGAGAACAGCAAUUGGUCAUGGGUGACUCGAUCCUAAGACAUUGGGGAACUCCUUGCAAAUGAGCUUCGCUCGCAGUCAAAAGGGAAUGAGGUUAAUAUUCCUCAAGUUGGACGUGGAUAAUGUAUGGCAACAUAAGUGAGCCCAGAAACGUCAGCACGAGCCUCUGGAAGAGUUCUCUUUUCUUUUUAACAGGCUAGCGACCUUGAAAUUGGAUUAUCCAGAGCUAAGGUUGUAUGCUUGGAAGAGCAUCUUGCUUUUUGAGAUGUCAGGUGCGCUCGUGAUGACCCCUGAAAAUCUGGGUGAGAGAUCUAUUCCACGCCAAGUCGUACCAAUAACCGCAUCAGGUCUCCAAGGUU